GAUGAACGCUGGCGGCGUGCCUAAUACAUGCAAGUCGAGCGAACAGACGAGGAGCUUGCUCCUCUGAUGUUAGCGGCGGACGGGUGAGUAACACGUGGAUAACCUACCUAUAAGACUGGGAUAACUUCGGGAAACCGGAGCUAAUACCGGAUAACAUGUUGAACCGCAUGGUUCAACAGUGAAAGACGGUCUUGCUGUCACUUAUAGAUGGAUCCGCGCCGCAUUAGCUAGUUGGUAAGGUAACGGCUUACCAAGGCAACGAUGCGUAGCCGACCUGAGAGGGUGAUCGGCCACACUGGAACUGAGACACGGUCCAGACUCCUACGGGAGGCAGCAGUAGGGAAUCUUCCGCAAUGGGCGAAAGCCUGACGGAGCAACGCCGCGUGAGUGAAGAAGGUCUUCGGAUCGUAAAACUCUGUUAUUAGGGAAGAACAAAUGUGUAAGUAACUAUGCACGUCUUGACGGUACCGAAGCAGAAAGCCACGGCUAACUACGU
RNAcentral lists this ribosomal RNA (496 nucleotides) under uncultured bacterium. Its description in RNAcentral is "partial 16S ribosomal RNA". It matches the Rfam family "Bacterial small subunit ribosomal RNA", at positions 28 to 506 of the family's 1533-position model. The record is from RNAcentral.